Non-coding RNA from Monodelphis domestica (gray short-tailed opossum), 7592 nucleotides. Lineage: Eukaryota; Metazoa; Chordata; Mammalia; Didelphimorphia; Didelphidae. The record is from RefSeq and is a predicted model, not a curated record.
CGAGCCAGCCCCCAACCCCCAACACACCCCGAGGACGCUCCCCCACCCCUCAUACCCGUACACAAUGGACACGCCCCUUCAAUCUGCUUCUGGACUCUCGAUUACUUCCAGGAUCAAACGUCAGGUCCCCAGGUUGACUUUUAAAGUAUAACCUGGCCCCAAUCUAUUUACACUUUUCUCUCACCAAGACUCUUCGCUCCAGUGACUGGCCGCCCAGCCAUUCUUCGAAGAAGACCCUCCAAUCUCCCACCUCUGGACAUUUUCCUGUCCCCCAUCUACGACUCUUCCCUCCUCCUCCUGACAACCUCCUGGCUUCCCGGGCUUCUUUUACGUCUUAGCUAAAGUCUCACCCUCUGCGAAGACUUUCUCGAUCCCGUUUUAGUGCCUUCCCUCUGAGAUUAUCCCCAAUUCAUCCUCUAUCUUGUUUGCACAUAGUUGUGGCUCCCGUUUGACCGGGAGUUCCUUUAGAGCAAGGACUGUAAUUUACCUCUCUUUGUAGCCCCAGAAUUUUGUAUCCCCUGAGACUUGCCUUUCUGUGUAUCCCCCGACGGGUGUCUGACACAUAGAUGUUCAAUAAAUGAUUGUGGAAGACGCCAUACUUGUGAAUAGACACACCACAUGCUUCCCUUCAUUGCUGCCAAAGUCAUCGAGUCAAGCCUUCCCACCUGAGACCUCUGUCCUGGACCAGAGGCCCCUGUUUCCAAGUCUUGCUGAUUCUCAAGUGUCCUCAGGAGGAGAGAAGAGUGCAAUCGCCAACCAUUUUAUUAGAGACGGUUCCUUUCUUGUUCCUGCCAUGGUUUAAAUCAACAUAAACACAGACUAACAAAACGGUGAGCAAGCACCCUGCUCUCCCCAGUGGCGUCAUCCUCAAAUAGAAACGGGGGCCACUAGUCUGUACAGAAGUAUCCCCGUGGGCUGCAUUUUGACAGUUUUUAAAUGGAGUGUUAUCUUUCUUUUAUUGUUUUUUUUUUAUUUGUUUUCUUAAGAAUUUCCCAAUGAUACCUUCACUCUUAGAAUCAAUACUAUGUAGUGGUUCCAAGGCAGAAGAAGAGCAGUAAGGGCUAGGCAAUGGAGGUUAAGUGACUUGCCCAGGGUCACACAGCUGGAAAGUGAUGUCAAAUUUGAACCCAAGCCUGACCCUCAAUUCACUGAGCCACCUAGCUUGCUACCCUGCCCCCAUUAUAUUUUUAUCCGGAUGUAGCCACACUUGAAGAGUGUUAUGGGAUGCCAAUAUCUGACACCUCUGAAGCCAAAGCACUACCCCCAUUCCUUGCUCCCAAAGGCAGACACAAUACUCAUAAAAUAUACAUCUAAGCACACACACACUUGCAUACACAGAUGUGUCAUCAUCCACAUGCUACACAUCAGCCAUUGAAUACAUGAGCAAAAGAUGCACAAUAAUAGUAAAGCAAUGCAAAUGGUAGUAAUCCUAAAGAAUAACAAGAUAUUUAUUCAGCCAUUCCACAAAUAAACAAAAAUGUAUAGUUAGCAAAUAUAUCAAUGUCAUUUGCAUUAUAGAACAAAGGAAAAAAAAACUGGAACAAGACAAUCACAAAGCGAAACUAUAUUCAAAAUAUGCAGCAAUUAGCCUGCAUCAACCAGGUAUGAUUCCCUAGAGGAGGACCAGGACACAUUCUCCCCCUCCAAGCCCUGCUUCCUCCUGCCCCUGAGGGGGGGUCAGGACAUAAGCUUCUUACCUCCCAACUAGCUUCUGGAAGUGCCCCAAGCCAACAAUAUUGCCAGUCCUGGACAGGCCACUGGACUUCCUUAACACACACCUCCUCCGGCUUCUCAAGGCCUGUCAAGACACAUUAACACCACCUACUGCAAGUGCAGGACCUCUAGGGAUAACCUUUAGACAUCUAAUCACUUGCUGUCCUCAUGAGACCUCUCCUGCUCCACAGACACUCUGCCUGAACUCAUGGUUUCCCCAGUGGUUAUCAAAAUUCCUCUGCCUUUUGCUUUCCCCAUUCCAAUAAUGACUUUCUUGCUGGGAAAGAACAAAUCCCUCUCCCUAAUGCCAGCUCUCUACUCCUUCAUUCUUAGUCACCUCCACCCCUCCUGUGCCACUACCAGAUCUACCUGAACCUUCCACACUACCCUCGAAAAUGCUUGCUUUGUGAUCAACAAAUUAACGAUUAUUAACAAUUAACAAGUGCUCUUAUCUUUAUCUUUCUGUUUUCGGGUGCUCACUCAGACUGGACUCCCUGUGGAUAACAUUGUGUGCUUGGCCCCCUUUCCAGUACUUGCAGCUUCUCUCAUACAUCCUCCCCAUCUCCCAAUCAAUGGUCAUGGUGAAUGAAUACAUAAAUCAGAAUACUCUGUGCUUCCCCGUUACAACUUGCUGGAUCUCCCUCUAUCACUGAUACUCACCAACCUUUACUCCUUUGAGCUUCAUCCUAUUGAAAUUUAUCACCCAAUUUAUCACCCAGUAGAUAUUAUUUACUUUUCUUGUCUCCUCAGUUCUCCCAUAAAACCCUUUCCCCUAACCAUUUUAGCUAAGAAAUUCCCACACAUACAUUUUUUUAAAAAGUAGUCAUUAUUCACAAGCUCCCUUUUCUCUUAUUCUCAUCUUAUGUCCCUCUGAAGUCUACCAUGUCCUCCUUGACUACAGUCUCUGAUGAAAGUGCCCCUUCUUGACAAGAUCAUUCCCCUUGGGUCCCAUUCUCUCCCAUCUUCUAAUACACAUUUCCCCAUUAUCAUCCCUAAUAUCUCUAAUCUGUUCCCAUCUAUAAUUCCUUCUGGGUUACCUAAAAACAUUCUUAUAUUUCCCCUAAUCUCAAAAAAAAAACCUGACUAGAUACUACUAUCCCACUGUGAUACCCCCCAAAAAAGUUCUGUUCCCUAUUCAUUAUUCUCUCUACACAAUCUCAUUUGAUAAUCUCAUUUACCAGUCCUUUGCCAUAACAAAAAGUAAUACUGAAAUUUUAUUUAUACAUAAUAGAUCCUUUAUCUCUGGCCUCUUUGGAGUAUAGGCCUAGUAGUAGUAUUGCUGAGUCAAAGGUUAUGUGUAUUAUAGUUCCACAUUGCUUUCCAGCAUAGUCGGGCCAAUUCAUAGCUCCACCAACAGGGUUCCUUAUCCAUGCAGACAUCUCCCAACAACUGACACUUUUCUUGAUUUGUGUCAUCUCUGCCAAUCUGAAGGGCACGAGGACUCUAGAGUUGUUUUAAUUGACAUUUUGAGUAUUUGGGAGCAUUUUUUCUUUUGACAACUACCUAAUCAUAUUCUUUGACCACUUACCACUUGAAGAAUGGCACUCAUUCUAUAUUUGUUUCAAUUCCUUAUCUAUCUUGGAUAUCGGACCUUCCCUUCCCAUUCUAAUUUCAUUAAUUUUGCUAAAAACUUUUCAAUUUUAUGUAAUCAAAAUUGUCUUUAUUUUUUUAUGAUGAUCUAUACCCUAUAUUUGGUCAAGAAUUCUCCUCUUAUCCAUAGUUAUGUUUGAACUUCUGCUAUAUGAUAUUUUUAUAUUUGAUCAUGUAUAGUCAUUUGAAAUUUGUGGUAUGCUAUGCAUUGUGUUGUCACCCAGAAUAAAAGAGAAGUGAGAAGGGCCUAAAAUAGAGUGGUGGCUAUGGGACCAAAAUUUGAUCCUAUGUCCUAUCCACCUCAUCAAUACAAGACAUCACAAUGUUUAAAGUACUGAAAAUAUUUGUGUUGAUAUCUGUAUUACACUUAAUUUGGAUCCUGGCUUCAGAGAGUUUGAUUAAAUCCAGAAUACAGGCCAUGGACAAACUUAAUCGUAUCUUUGUUCUUUCUUUUACCAUGAAACCCAUUAUGAGCCACCCACAAAAAGGAACGAGCCCCUGGAUGCUGGGAAAUUUAAAGAUUUUUCUUAGAAUUCACACAGCCAUGAAGAAUCACAAUGGUCUUCAGAGACACUAACUACAAAUAAAUUACUUGAUCUUCAUAUAGAACAAGGAAGAUGAAAAAUAGCAAAGCAGAAGAAAAAAGGUAAUGGAAGACAGAAUAGAAAGCAAAAUGAUAUUAAAGACAUCUUACAUUUGUCGAGAACAGCUGCCCGUGUUUAGAUAAAUCAGAGGGCUGGAGAGCACCACUGUGUUCUUGUUCAAUUACCUGGAAGGGCCAUCUAUUUGAAAGUUAGCUGGCUAUAAAGCUAAACUGAGUUUUUGUGCCCUAUCAAAAGUAUACAAGAUUGCAGAUAUAAUAAAGACACUUUUUGUAAUCUUUUAUACAAAUUUUACUCUCCUAAUUUUUUUUUUGCUCAGAAUCACAGAGCUACAUAGUGGCAGAGAGGGAACUAGAAUACUCAGAUCACUUGAUUCCUUGGUUCUCUUAGUUGACUUCUUUUUCAAUUAUUGAUACUUUUUUUAAAAAAAAUUACACCAUAACAUUAAUCUUUUAAAACUUUUGAGUUCCCUUCUUUCCUUCCUCUCUCCCUCCCUUCUCCUACCCUUGAGGAAACAAGCAAUAUGAUACAUUUGAUUCAUUGUUUUUGUUUUAAAAACCCAUAUCUUGUCUUACAAUUGAUACUAUGCAUUGGUUCUAAUGUAGAUGAGUGGUAAAGGCUAGGCAAUGGGGAAUUAAAAUGAUUUACCCAGUCACACAACUAGGAAGUGUCUAAGGUCAUAUUUGAACCCAGUAUCUUCUAUUUCUGGGCCUGGUGAGCUAUUUAGCUGUCCCCCAUUUGAUUCAUUGUUCAGGAUUUUUUUCUACACUAGAAUCAAGUAUUAAAUAGAAACUUAGCAAGUGUCUUGCUAUGUGUCAGUAACACUGCUCAGCACCUAGGUCACAAAAACAAAAAAAUGAAAAGUCUUUAUCCUAAAUGACCUUCUAUUCUAUGAUGGUGGUAUGAGGAAGUCACAUGGACAUAUAAAUAUAAAAUAUAUGCAAAGUAAACACAAGGGAAUAUUUGGAGGAGAUGGGAGAGCAGAGAAGCAGCAGGAGAAAGCAAGAAAUGCUUCAUAUAGGAGAUAGCACUUCAGCUGGGGGCUUGAAUGUAGCUAGGAACUUUAAGAAAGAGGAGGACCAUCAUUCACAAGUCAGAGAUGUAACAUGGCACAAACGAUGCCAGAUAGACCAGUUGGCAACAUAGCAUUAUGAAAUCAGUCUAGAAUCAAAGGUUAAAAAUGUAAAUAAAAAGAAUAAAAUUAAGUCAAACACUAUGUUUGCAUUCAGGAUUGACAAAAAGACCAAGAAAAGAGGAAGGGAACUCACCUCCUUUUAUUGGAGAGGUGAGAGACCAUGGAUAUGGAAAAUAUUGUCAGACAAGGAAUAAUGAACUGGAGGAAUUCCAUGGAGACUGGAACAACCUCCAGGAAGUGAUGCAGAGCAAGAGGAGCAGAACCAGAAGAACAUUGUACACAGAGACUGAUACACUGUGGUACAAUCGAACACAAUGGAUUUCUCCAUUAGGGUCAAUGCAAUGUCCCUGAACAAUCUGCAGGGAUCUAGGAGAAAAAAUACUAUCCACAAGCAGAGGACAAACUGUGGGAGUAAAAACACCGAGGAAAAACAACUGCUUGAUUACAGGGGUGGAAAUAUGACUGAGGAGAGACUCUGAAUGAACACUCUAAUGCAAAUACCCACAACACGGAAAUGGGUUCGAAUCAAGGACACAUGUGAUACCCAGUGGAAUCGCGCGUCGGCUAUGGGAUGAUGGGGGGAGAGGGGGUUGAGGAGAAAAGAAAAUGAUCUUUGUCUCCAAUGAAUAAUGCUCGGAAAUGACCAAAUAAAAUAAUGUUAAAAAAACAAAAAGGACUAAGUAAACAAAUUGCUAUAUAAACUUGAGUUGUCUUAAUCUGAGGCUGUUGGAAUAGAAAAUCUCCCAGGGCCCUUCUAACUCAAAAAUCUGAUUCCUUUACUCACUCUGAUUCUACAUAGGCUUUCAAAAUUAGCUCAAAAUAUAAUCUAAGAUGGCUGGAAGAAUGGACAAAAAUGAGUCAAAGAAUGGGAAAUUUCAAAGACCAAAAAAAUGCCAAAUUUCAUAGAUUUCCUUAAUAGCCUUCCCUAUGAAAGAUUGGUCAUUAACAGAGUAGUAAUGGGCUACAGGACAAAGACAGAAGGCCUGGAAGUCACCAAGACCUGGCUUUGGUUCUCUCUUCAGACACAUCCAGGAGUGUGACUAUGGGAAAGGGAAAGCAGUGUUUCCUAGCUCUAAGUUACAAAACAGUUGCUAAUGUUCAUUGGUAGAAGAGCUAUCACUAAUGAUAUCACAAAUCCAAGGAAAACAACUCCCCAGACCCAGUGUUCCUUAACAGCUCUCCCCACUAAAUACAAGACAAAAAAGAAAAUCUAUAAAUUGUGCAAAUAGUUACAUAAUCAUUGUGUAUGUAAAUACGUGUACAUGUAGAGAUAAAUACACACACACACACACACACACACACACACACACACACACACACGUUCUCCAUUAUGCCAGUAGCCAUUAUUAACAGAAUUAUAAGGUUACACUUUCUUGGCUUUGGUUUAACUGGUGAUGGAAACUUUAAAAAAAAUCCUUACCAUCUUUUUUACAAUCAAUACUCUGUAUAGGUUCUAAGGCAGAAGAGUGGUAAGGGCUCAGCAAUGGUGAUUAAAUGACUUGCUCAGGGUCACAUAACCUUAAAGUAUCUGAGGCUAGAUUUGAACCCAGGACCUUCUAUCUCUAUCCCUGGCCCUCAGUCCACUACCUAGUUGCCUCCUUAGUUGGAAACUUCUGUUGAAGAAAUGCAGAUCAACAUUAGUUUUCUGUAACACAGAUUAGGGAGCUACCUGGGUUGGUUAAGUACCUUGGAGGUUGCUAGCCAUGUAGGGCAGAGGUGUCAAAUACAUCAAAAUUCCUUAGAGGAAACCAGAUUAAAAAGUUAUUGGGAAGGGGUAGCUGGGUGGCUCAGUGGAUUGAGAGUCAGGCCUGGAGACGGGAGGUCCUGGGUUCAUAUUUGACCUCAUACACUUCCUAAUUGUGUGAUCCUGGGCAAGUCACUUAACCCCCAUUGCCAAGCCCUUACUGCUCUUUUGCCUUAGAACCAACACACAGUAUUGAUUCUAAGAUGGAAGGUAAAGGUUUAAAAAAAUAAUUGGCAAAUAAAAAUACAAAACACGUAUAAUGUUAAUUUCAGAUUUUCUAAGUCAAUAUGCAGCCAUUUCUAUUUGAAUUUGACAUUUCUAAUGCAAAGAAACAAAAGCUUUCGUAAUACAAAAAUAUUCACUAAUGAAUUGACCCAUUCAUAAAAUUAGACCUUAAGGAUCUCUAUGCAUUCUGAAUAUUAAUUUGUCCAUUCAACCCUUUUAAUAAAAUAGAUCCAAAAAAAUUGUGAAGCUCUCCAAAAGAGAAUCCUGUGAAAGUAUUACAAAGCCUUUCAAGCAAACUGAUUAAAUUAUCCAGUAUUUUAUGAUCUCUUAACCUAAAGGAUAUUGAGCAUACCAUGAAAUAAUAAACCUAUGCCCCAAACCUGAUUCAUUCUUUUGCCUGUUCUAACCAUUAAUGCAGAGUGACGAUCAUAACCUAAAUUAGAGAGAUAAUAAAAACUUAUUAUACUAUUUUUCAAGAUAAAGUUCCAAAAAAUGUUGUAACACCCCCUCCAAUUUCUUAUGAAAUUUUGGUUCUCAUUAUGAGCUUAUUCAAUUUAGUCUUUUUUUCUGGGACCAUUCUCUU